UACGAAGGGGGCUAGCGUUGCUCGGAAUCACUGGUCGUAAAGCGCACGUAGGCGGAUUGUUAAGUCGGGGGUGAAAUCCUGGAGCUCAACUCCAGAACUGCCUUCGAUACUGGCGAUCUUGAGUCCGGGAGAGGUGAGUGGAACUCCGAGUGUAGAGGUGAAAUUCGUAGAUAUUCGGAAGAACACCAGUGGCGAAGGCGGCGCACUGGCCCGGUACUGACGCUGAGGUGCGAAAGCGUGGGGAGCAAACAGG
RNAcentral lists this ribosomal RNA (253 nucleotides) under uncultured bacterium. RNAcentral's name for it is "partial 16S ribosomal RNA". It matches the Rfam family "Bacterial small subunit ribosomal RNA", at positions 524 to 776 of the family's 1533-position model. The record is from RNAcentral.